This 399-nucleotide ribosomal RNA is filed under the name uncultured bacterium. Its description in RNAcentral is "bacterial SSU rRNA". It matches the Rfam family "Bacterial small subunit ribosomal RNA", at positions 29 to 426 of the family's 1533-position model. The record is from RNAcentral.
AUUGAACGCUGGCGGCAUGCCUUACACAUGCAAGUCGAACGGCAGCACGGGAGCAAUCCUGGUGGCGAGUGGCGAACGGGUGAGUAAUAUAUCGGAACGUGCCCAGUCGUGGGGGAUAACGCAGCGAAAGCUGUGCUAAUACCGCAUACGAUCUAUGGAUGAAAGCGGGGGAUCGCAAGACCUCGCGCGAUUGGAGCGGCCGAUAUCAGAUUAGCUAGUUGGUGGGGUAAAGGCCCACCAAGGCGACGAUCUGUAGCUGGUCUGAGAGGACGACCAGCCACACUGGAACUGAGACACGGUCCAGACUCCUACGGGAGGCAGCAGUGGGGGAAUUUUUGGGACAAUGGGCGCAAGCCUGAUCCAGCAAUGCCGCGUGCAGGAUGAAGGCCUUCGGGUUGG